RNAcentral lists this transfer RNA (67 nucleotides) under Cryptoperla sp. WY-2013. Its description in RNAcentral is "tRNA-Cys". Lineage: Eukaryota; Metazoa; Arthropoda; Insecta; Plecoptera; Peltoperlidae. The record is from RNAcentral.
AGCUUUAUAGUCAAUUAUGAUAUUAGACUGCAAUUCUAAAGGAGGAAGGGUUUCUUUUCUAAGGCUU